UGUAGCGGUGAAAUGCGUAGAGAUCGGGAGGAAUACCAGUGGCGAAGGCGGCUUUCUGGACUGACACUGACACUGAGGUGCGAAAGCGUGGGUAGCAAACAGGAUUAGAUACCCUGGUAGUCCACGCCGUAAACGAUGUCGACCAGCCGUUGGGUGCCUAGCGCACUUUGUGGCGAAGUUAACGCGAUAAGUCGACCGCCUGGGGAGUACGGCCGCAAGGUUAAAACUCAAAUGAAUUGACGGGGGCCCGCACAAGCGGUGGAGCAUGUGGUUUAAUUCGAUGCAACGCGAAGAACCUUACCUACUCUUGACAUCCUGCGAACUUGUGAGAGAUCACUUGGUGCCUUCGGGAGCGCAGAGACAGGUGCUGCAUGGCUGUCGUCAGCUCGUGUUGUGAAAUGUUGGGUUAAGUCCCGUAACGAGCGCAACCCUUGUCCUUAUUUGCCAGCGGGUAAUGCCGGGAACUCUAAGGAGACUGCCGGUGACAAACCGGAGGAAGGUGGGGACGACGUCAAGUCAUCAUGGCCCUUACGAGUAGGGCUACACACGUGCUACAAUGGCCGGUACAAAGGGUUGCGAGCUCGCGAGAGUCAGCUAAUCCCGAAAAGCCGGUCUCAGUCCGGAUCGGAGUCUGCAACUCGACUCCGUGAAGUCGGAAUCGCUAGUAAUCGUGAAUCAGAAUGUCACGGUGAAUACGUUCCCGGGCCUUGUACACACCGCCCGU
This 724-nucleotide ribosomal RNA is filed under the name uncultured bacterium. Its description in RNAcentral is "bacterial SSU rRNA". It matches the Rfam family "Bacterial small subunit ribosomal RNA", at positions 674 to 1397 of the family's 1533-position model. The record is from RNAcentral.